GAUGAACGCUGGCGGCGUGCCUAAUACAUGCAAGUCGAGCGAACAGACGAGGAGCUUGCUCCUCUGACGUUAGCGGCGGACGGGUGAGUAACACGUGGAUAACCUACCUAUAAGACUGGGAUAACUUCGGGAAACCGGAGCUAAUACCGGAUAAUAUAUUGAACCGCAUGGUUCAAUAGUGAAAGACGGUUUUGCUGUGACUUAUAGAUGGAUCCGCGCCGCAUUAGCUAGUUGGUAAGGUAACGGCUUACCAAGGCAACGAUGCGUAGCCGACCUGAGAGGGUGAUCAGCCACACUGGAACUGAGACACGGUCCAGACUCCUACGGGAGGCAGCAGUAGGGAAUCUUCCGCAAUGGGCGAAAGCCUGACGGAGCAACGCCGCGUGAGUGAUGAAGGUCUUCGGAUCGUAAAACUCUGUUAUUAGGGAAGAACAACUGUGUAAGUAACUAUGGAGGUCUUGACGGUACCUGAACAGAAAGCAACGGCUAACUACGUG
RNAcentral lists this ribosomal RNA (497 nucleotides) under uncultured bacterium. Its description in RNAcentral is "partial 16S ribosomal RNA". It matches the Rfam family "Bacterial small subunit ribosomal RNA", at positions 28 to 507 of the family's 1533-position model. The record is from RNAcentral.